Long non-coding RNA from Scleropages formosus (Asian bonytongue), 1505 nucleotides. Lineage: Eukaryota; Metazoa; Chordata; Actinopteri; Osteoglossiformes; Osteoglossidae. The record is from Ensembl.
CCCAAGGUGAGAGGCGGCGGGCUGGUGUGGGCUUAUUAAUAGCCCCCCAGUUCAGCCGCCAUGUGUUGGAGUCUACCCCGGUGAAUGAGAGGGUCAUCUCCCUACGCCUUCGGGUCAGGGAACGGUCUCUCACUGUCGUUUGUGCUUAUGCGCCUAGCGGCAGUGUAGAGUACCCGGCCCUUUUAGAGUCCCUGGGGGGCGUGCUGGAAAGCGCUCCCACUGGGGACUCUGUCGUUCUACUGGGGGACUUUAACGCCCACGUGGGCAGCGACAGUGAUACCUGGAGGGGCGUGAUUGGGAGGAACGGCCUCCCUGAUCUGAACCCGAGCGGUGAGUUGUUAUUGGAUUUCUGUGCUAGUCGCGGUUUAUCCAUAACGAACACCAUGUUCAUGCAUAAGGGUGUCCACCAGUGCACUUGGCACCAGGACACCCUGGGUCGGAGGUCGAUGAUCGACUUUGUAGUCGUUUCUUCUGACCUUCGGCCAUAUGUCUUGGACACUCGGGUGAAGAGAGGGGCUGAGCUGUCAACUGAUCACCACCUGGUGGUGAGUUGGAUUCGAUGGCGGGGGAAAAAGCUGGACAGACCUGGCAGGCCCAAACGCAUAGUGAGGGUCUGUUGGGAACGUUUGGCGGAGGCCCCUGUCAGAGAGGUCUUCAACUCCCACCUCCGACAGAGCUUCAACCAGGUCCCGAGGGAGGUGGGGGACAUUGAGUCUGAAUGGACUAUGUUCCGCUCCUCCAUUGUCGGUGCGGCUGUUUGGAGCUGCGGCCAUAAGGUCUCCGGUGCCUGUCGCGGCGGCAAUCCCCGAACACGGUGGUGGACACCGGAAGUAAGGGAUGCCGUCAAGCUGAAGAAGGAGUUCUAUCGGGCCUGGCUGGCUCAUGGGACUCCUGAAGCAGCUGACGGGUACCGACGGGCCAAACGGAGCGCGGCUCUGGCAGUCGCCGCGGCAAAAACUCGGGCUUGGGAGGAGUUCGGUGAGGCCAUGGAGGAAGACUUUCGGUCGGCCUCAAAGAGAUUCUGGCAAACCGUCCGGCGACUCAGAGGGGGGAAGCGGUGUUCCACGAACACUGUUUACAGUGGAAGUGGUGCGCUGCUGACCUCAGCUGAGGAUGUUCUCGGGCGGUGGAAGGAGUACUUUGAGGAUCUCCUCAAUCCCUCCGACACGCCUUCCGUAGAGGAAGCUGAGGCUGGGGACUCGGAGGGGGACUCGUCCAUUACCCUGGCUGAAGUUGCUGAGGUAGUCAAAAAACUCCUCGGUGGCAAGGCUCCGGGGGUGGAUGAGAUCCGCCCCGAGUUUCUCAAGUCUCUGGAUGUUGUGGGGCUGUCUUGGCUGACACGCCUCUGCAGCAUUGCGUGGAGUUCGGGGACGGUGCCUCUGGACUGGCAGACCGGGGUGGUGGUCCCUCUUUUUAAGAAGGGGGACCGGAGAUUGUGUUCCAACUACAGGGGGAUCACACUCCUUAGCCUCCCUGGGAAAGUCUAUGCCAGGGUACUGGAAAGG